Molecule: ribosomal RNA, 597 nt
Filed under: uncultured bacterium
Lineage: Bacteria
Description: bacterial SSU rRNA
Rfam family: Bacterial small subunit ribosomal RNA
Source: RNAcentral
UGACGGUACCCCACGAAUAAGCCCCGGCUAACUUCGUGCCAGCAGCCGCGGUAAUACGAAGGGGGCUAGCGUUGUUCGGAAUGACUGGGCGUAAAGGGUGCGUAGGCGGUUUAAUAAGUUUGGUGUGAAAGUCCUGGGCUCAACCUGGGGAUUGCACUGGAAACUAUUAGACUAGAGAUCGAGAGAGGAAAAUGGAAUUGCGAGUGUAGAGGUGAAAUUCGUAGAUAUUCGCAAGAACACCGGUGGCGAAGGCGGUUUUCUGGCUCGAUACUGACGCUAAGGCACGAAAGCGUGGGGAGCAAACAGGAUUAGAUACCCUGGUAGUCCACGCUGUAAACGAUGAAUGCUAGAUGUUGGGGGGGCAACCUUUCAGUGUCGUAGUUAACGCGAUAAGCAUUCCGCCUGGGGGAGUACGGUCGCAAGAUUAAAACUUAAAGGAAUUGACGGGGACCCGCACAAGCGGUGGAGUAUGUUGGGUUUAAUUCGAAGCAACGCGCAGAACCUUACCAGCUUUUGACAUGGGAAAGUAUGAAGACCAAAGAUGGUUUUCUUCAGUUUGGCUGGCUUCCACACAGGUGCUGCAUGGCUGUCGUCAGC